This 943-nucleotide ribosomal RNA is filed under the name Russula roseostipitata. RNAcentral describes it as "partial large subunit ribosomal RNA". Lineage: Eukaryota; Fungi; Basidiomycota; Agaricomycetes; Russulales; Russulaceae. The record is from RNAcentral.
UAAGCAUAUCAAUAAGCAGAGGAAAAGAAACUAACAAGGAUUCCCCUAGUAACUGCGAGUGAAGCGGGAAAAGCUCAAAUUUAAAAUCUGGUGGUCUUUAGCCAUCCGAGUUGUAAUUUAGAGAAGCAUCUUCCGCGCUGGACCGUGCACAAGUCUCCUGGAAUGGAGCGUCAUAGAGGGUGAGAAUCCYGUCUUUGGUACGGACAUGUCAGGGCUUUUGUGAUGUGCUCUCAAAGAGUCGAGUUGUUUGGGAAUGCAGCUCAAAAUGGGUGGUGAACUCCAUCUAAAGCUAAAUAUUGGCGAGAGACCGAUAGCGAACAAGUACCGUGAGGGAAAGAUGAAAAGCACUUUGGAAAGAGAGUGAAACAGUACGUGAAAUUGUUGAAAGGGAAACGCUUGAAGUCAGUCGUGUUGACCAAGACUCAGCCUUGCCUUGGCUUGGUGUAAUUCUUGGCUGACAGGCCAGCAUCAAUUUUGUCUCUUGGAUAAUGAUAAGGAAAAUGUGACACCUUUAUGGUGUGUUAUAGUUUCUUGUCGCAUGCAAGGGUUGAGAUUGAGGAACUCAGCAUGCACCUUUUUGGUGUCGGAGCCUUUGCUCACGAUACAUGCUUAGGAUGUUGGCAUAAUGGCUUUAAACGACCCGUCUUGAAACACGGACCAAGGAGUCUAACAUACCUGCGAGUGUUUGGGUGGAAAACCCGUGCGCGUAAUGAAAGUGAAAGUUGGGAUCUUUGUCGUGAAGAGCACCGACGCCCGGACCAGACCUUCUGUGACGGCUCUGCGGUAAAGCAUGUAUGUUAGGACCCGAAAGAUGGUGAACUAUGCCUGAAUAGGGUGAAGCCAGAGGAAACUCUGGUGGAGGCUCGUAGCGAUUCUGACGUGCAAAUCGAUCGUCAAAUUUGGGUAUAGGGGCGAAAGACUAAUCGAACCAUCUAGUAGCUGG